UACGGAGGGUGCAAGCGUUGUUCGGAAUUAUUGGGCGUAAAGCGCGCGCAGGCGGCUGGGUAAGUCCUGGGGUGAAAUGCCGGAGCUCAACUCCGUGCCCGCCCCGGAUACUGUCCGGCUGGAGACACGUAGAGGCAAGCGGAAUUUCGGGUGUAGCGGUGGAAUGCGUAGAGAUCCGAAAGAACACCGGAGGCGAAGGCGGCUUGCUGGGCGUGAUCUGACGCUGAGGCGCGAAAGCGUGGGGAGCGAACGGG
This 254-nucleotide ribosomal RNA is filed under the name uncultured bacterium. RNAcentral's name for it is "partial 16S ribosomal RNA". It matches the Rfam family "Bacterial small subunit ribosomal RNA", at positions 524 to 776 of the family's 1533-position model. The record is from RNAcentral.